Molecule: ribosomal RNA, 497 nt
Filed under: uncultured bacterium
Lineage: Bacteria
Description: partial 16S ribosomal RNA
Rfam family: Bacterial small subunit ribosomal RNA
Source: RNAcentral
GAUGAACGCUGGCGGCGUGCCUAAUACAUGCAAGUCGAGCGAACGGACGAGAAGCUUGCUUCUCUGAUGUUAGCGGCGGACGGGUGAGUAACACGUGGAUAACCUACCUAUAAGACUGGGAUAACUUCGGGAAACCGGAGCUAAUACCGGAUAAUAUUUUGGACCGCAUGGUUCAAAAGUAAAAGACGGUCUUGCUGUCACUUAUAGAUGGAUCCGCGCUGCAUUAGCUAGUUGGUAAGGUAACGGCUUACCAAGGCAACGAUGCAUAGCCGACCUGAGAGGGUGAUCGGCCACACUGGAACUGAGACACGGUCCAGACUCCUACGGGAGGCAGCAGUAGGGAAUCUUCCGCAAUGGGCGAAAGCCUGACGGAGCAACGCCGCGUGAGUGAUGAAGGUCUUCGGAUCGUAAAACUCUGUUAUUAGGGAAGAACAUAUGUGUAAGUAACUGUGCACAUCUUGACGGUACCUAAUCAGAAAGCCACGGCUAACUACGUG